UAAUGAGUAGUUUAAGGAAAAGGAAAACAACAGAUUGUGGUUCUGUAAAUAGGGUUAAGUUAGCUCUCAUUAG
This 73-nucleotide transfer RNA is filed under the name Pseudocuneopsis sichuanensis. RNAcentral describes it as "tRNA-His". The record is from RNAcentral. Lineage: Eukaryota; Metazoa; Mollusca; Bivalvia; Unionida; Unionidae.